This 815-nucleotide unclassified non-coding RNA is filed under the name Bombus terrestris (buff-tailed bumblebee). RNAcentral describes it as "misc RNA ENSBTSG00005026017.1". The record is from RNAcentral. Lineage: Eukaryota; Metazoa; Arthropoda; Insecta; Hymenoptera; Apidae.
UUUAAAUGGCAGUAUACAAAACAUUUCGCCCAACUAGACGGAGUUGUGUCUUUAAAAUAGUUGGAUAUAAAAAAGCUGCAAAUGGAAGCAUUAGUUUGACAUCUCAAAAAUUGUAAAAAUGCCAAAUAGUUUGAAUAAUGUGUCAAGAAUUUUUUAGGUUUACCUGAUGCUUCCGUAAGUAUGUGACUAUUUGCGAAGAGGAAUAUGUAAAGUAAGUGAAGACAGAAGUUGUUAAAGAAAAUUCGAAGGCAAGGCGAGGAAGGUGAUCGUGAAGGAGCGCGGAGACCGCUUCUAGGAAUUGGCCGAUGAUUUCGGUUGAGCCAGAGCAAGCUACAGAGCGACUGAAAAAAAUGGGCCACCGCUCCAAAUUUGUAAGUCCCGCUUCCGGGCGACUGAACGAGCCGCUCCCAAAAUAAGGCUCAUGAGAAUCAGGGAAUUCCACUCCCACGUUCUCUCGACGCUGUGAUGCCGCGCGAGGGUAUGGCACGUUGCCAAUCUGACGUCAAAACUCUUCUUUCGUUAUCUUGUCCUUAUUUCGCGUUUCGCCUGAUCUCUUAGGCCUAGACGUUGAACAACAAUUUCUAUUCGCCGUGGCAACGUUCUCCCUUUAAAGCGUUACAUCUGCUGGCAAGUUUUAUCAUCUUCUCGAUUCACACUUUCUCGAAAUCUUCACUCGGAACCUCUAUCGACCUGAUUUUUAUUAUCUUGAUCUGAAAAGCAAAAGUAAUUCAAGUAUGAGUAAAGCGAAGAUGCUAAGUACGCGUACUCGUCGAUACAUUGCGGAUGUUUCUGAAAAUUCAUUUUUAUAAACGCAG